CAGUAGCCGCGGGAAUACGUAGGGUGCGAGCGUUAAUCGGAAUUACUGGGCGUAAAGCGUGCGCAGGCGGUUCGUUAAGACAGAUGUGAAAUCCCCGGGCUAACCUGGGAACUGCAUUUGUGACUGGCGAGCUAGAGUAUGGCAGAGGGGGGUAGAAUUCCACGUGUAGCAGUGAAAUGCGUAGAGAUGUGGAGGAAUACCGAUGGCGAAGGCAGCCCCCUGGGCCAAUACUGACGCUCAUGCACGAAAGCGUGGGGAGCAAACAGGAUUAGAUACCCCGGUAGUCCCUGUCUCUUAUACA
This 301-nucleotide ribosomal RNA is filed under the name uncultured bacterium. RNAcentral describes it as "partial 16S ribosomal RNA". It matches the Rfam family "Bacterial small subunit ribosomal RNA", at positions 509 to 808 of the family's 1533-position model. The record is from RNAcentral.